GGCCCGCACAAGCGGUGGAGCAUGUGGUUUAAUUCGAUGCAACGCGAAGAACCUUACCUGGUCUUGACAUCCACAGAACUUUCCAGAGAUGGAUUGGUGCCUUCGGGAACUGUGAGACAGGUGCUGCAUGGCUGUCGUCAGCUCGUGUUGUGAAAUGUUGGGUUAAGUCCCGCAACGAGCGCAACCCUUAUCCUUUGUUGCCAGCGGUCCGGCCGGGAACUCAAAGGAGACUGCCAGUGAUAAACUGGAGGAAGGUGGGGAUGACGUCAAGUCAUCAUGGCCCUUACGACCAGGGCUACACACGUGCUACAAUGGCGCAUACAAAGAGAAGCGACCUCGCGAGAGCAAGCGGACCUCAUAAAGUGCGUCGUAGUCCGGAUUGGAGUCUGCAGCUCGACUCCAUGAAGUCGGAAUCGCUAGUAAUCGUGGAUCAGAAUGCCACGGUGAAUACGUUCCCGGGC
Molecule: ribosomal RNA, 461 nt
Filed under: uncultured bacterium
Lineage: Bacteria
Description: bacterial SSU rRNA
Rfam family: Bacterial small subunit ribosomal RNA
Source: RNAcentral